AAAUAAUUUAAAUGUUGUCUUUAGCACAUUUGCAUUCAUAAAAAGUGCUUGAAUAUGCUUCUUGCUUCCUCUUCUCCUGCUUAGCUGUCAAAACAUGGUGAUGCUUUUGAAGAUUUAUGGUAGAUUGGGUAAUGAGAUUGCUGAAUGUUAACCGCAGCAUUCAGAAUUCAUUUGGUGGCAAAAGAAAAGAAGGUUACUGGAUCUUUGGAAUAGAGUAGAGAGAUGAUAGAGCUUUUUUUAAUCAGCCAAUUUAAAAAUAAAUAUGCUAUAUUCUGGAUUAGGAAACAUUUCAAGCUUCUUGUCAUGUAGUAAUCAAAUAGAACAUUUCCUGAAGAAUAUAGGAUGUCAAAUUAUAUUCAUUUCAGCAAAAUUCCUGACAGCUUACAGUAAUGCCAUAUUUUGCAGUGUAGAUGUAUGCAAAUCUUAAUAUUGGAUGAGAAAGACUGAACAGUCCACAGGCAUGUGGAACAUUUUUUUAUUAUUAUGAAAAUCUCAGGUAUACAGAAUUAUAUUUCAACAGCUGUGCACACUAGAGUCCUCAUCCCACACGUUUAGGC
This 557-nucleotide long non-coding RNA is filed under the name Bos taurus (domestic cattle). RNAcentral describes it as "long non-coding RNA NONBTAT000207". Lineage: Eukaryota; Metazoa; Chordata; Mammalia; Artiodactyla; Bovidae. The record is from RNAcentral.